UGUUCAAUUUUUUUGACUCAUGUUUUGGUAGAUCUUUUGUGUCCAUUCGAAUCCUCAAUCUCUAAUGUGAACUCUCAUACUUUUUCCAAUCAAAUUGGACACUCCUAGCCUUUUAUGUGGCCAACCCUAGCUCACGCUACAGACAAGUGUUGUUGAAUCAGUUUAGUUUUCUUGAUUCAUGUUUUGGCAGAUAUUUUGUGUCCAUUCGAAUCCUCAAUCUCUAAUGUGAACUCUCAUACUUUUUCC
RNAcentral lists this long non-coding RNA (246 nucleotides) under Prunus persica (peach). RNAcentral describes it as "long non-coding RNA (PPER_LNC003940)". The record is from RNAcentral. Lineage: Eukaryota; Viridiplantae; Streptophyta; Magnoliopsida; Rosales; Rosaceae.